RNAcentral lists this ribosomal RNA (372 nucleotides) under uncultured organism. RNAcentral describes it as "bacterial SSU rRNA". It matches the Rfam family "Bacterial small subunit ribosomal RNA", at positions 526 to 896 of the family's 1533-position model. The record is from RNAcentral.
CGUAGGUGGCAAGCGUUACUCGGAAUCACUAGGCGUAAAGCGCAGGUAGGCGGUUGGAUAAGUCUGUUGUGAAAGCUCCCGGCUUAACUGGGAGAGGUCAACGGAAACUAUCCGGCUAGAGUGUGGUAGAGGAAGAUGGAAUUCCCGGUGUAGCGGUGAAAUGCGUAGAUAUCGGGAGGAAUACCUAUGGCGAAAGCAGUCUUCUGGACCAUCACUGACGCUGAUCUGCGAAAGCUAGGGGAGCAAACAGGAUUAGAUACCCUGGUAGUCCUAGCCCUAAACGAUGCUCAUUAGGUGUGGGAGGUAUCGACCCCUUCCGCGCCGUAGCUAACGCAUUAAAUGAGCCGCCUGGGGAGUACGGCCGCAAGGUUG